GACGAACGUUGGCGGCGUGCUUAACACAUGCAAGUCGAACGGAAAGGCCCUGCUUUUGUGGGGUGCUCGAGUGGCGAACGGGUGAGUAACACGUGAGUAACCUGCCCUUGACUUUGGGAUAACUUCAGGAAACUGGGGCUAAUACCGGAUAGGAGCUCCUGCUGCAUGGUGGGGGUUGGAAAGUUUCGGCGGUUGGGGAUGGACUCGCGGCUUAUCAGCUUGUUGGUGGGGUAGUGGCUUACCAAGGCUUUGACGGGUAGCCGGCCUGAGAGGGUGACCGGCCACAUUGGGACUGAGAUACGGCCCAGACUCCUACGGGAGGCAGCAGUGGGGAAUAUUGCACAAUGGGCGGAAGCCUGAUGCAGCAACUCCGCGUGCGGGAUGACGGCCUUCGGGUUGUAAACCGCUUCCGCCUGUGACGAAGCGUGAGUGACGGUAAUGGGUAAAGAAGCACCGGCUAACUACGUG
This 468-nucleotide ribosomal RNA is filed under the name uncultured bacterium. RNAcentral describes it as "partial 16S ribosomal RNA". It matches the Rfam family "Bacterial small subunit ribosomal RNA", at positions 28 to 507 of the family's 1533-position model. The record is from RNAcentral.